GUGAGGAAUUUUCCGCAAUGGGCGAAAGCCUGACGGAGCAAUGCCGCGUGAAGGAUGAAGGCCUAUGGGUUGUAAACUUCUUUUCUCAGAAAAGAAUUAUGACGGUAUCUGAGGAAUAAGCAUCGGCUAACUCUGUGCCAGCAGCCGCGGUAAGACAGAGGAUGCAAGCGUUAUCCGGAAUGAUUGGGCGUAAAGCGUCUGUAGGUUGUUUAAAAAGUAUUCUGUCAAAGAUUAGGGCUUAACCCUAGAUAGGCAGAAUAAACUUUUAAGCUAGAGUUUGGUAGAGGCAGAGGGAAUUCCCGGUGGAGCGGUGAAAUGCGUAGAUAUCGGGAGGAACACCAAAGGCGAAGGCACUCUGCUGGGCCAAUACUAACACUGAGAGACGAAAGCGAGGGGAGCAAAUGGGAUUAGAAACCCAGUAGUCC
RNAcentral lists this ribosomal RNA (425 nucleotides) under uncultured bacterium. RNAcentral's name for it is "partial 16S ribosomal RNA". It matches the Rfam family "Bacterial small subunit ribosomal RNA", at positions 354 to 796 of the family's 1533-position model. The record is from RNAcentral.